RNAcentral lists this long non-coding RNA (624 nucleotides) under Pan troglodytes (chimpanzee). Its description in RNAcentral is "long non-coding RNA NONPTRT010944". The record is from RNAcentral. Lineage: Eukaryota; Metazoa; Chordata; Mammalia; Primates; Hominidae.
CAGCAGUGAGGACUCUGAAGGAUCCACUGACGUUGAUGAGCCCUUAGAAGUCUUCAUCUCAGCACCGAGAAGUGAGCCUGAGCCCAUGGAUUUCAGAAAAUUAUCUACAUUCAGAGAAAGUUUUAAGAAAAGAGUGAUAGGACAAGACCACGACUUUUCAGAAUCCAGUGAGGAGGAGGCGCCCGCAGAAGCCUCAAGCGGGGCACUGAGAAGCAAGCAUGGUGAGAAGGCUCCUAUGACUUCUAGAAGUACAUCUACUUGGAGAAUACCCAGCAGGAAGAGACGUUUCAGCAGUAGUGACUUUUCAGACCUGAGUAAUGGAGAAGAGCUUCAGGAAGCCUGCAGCUCAUCCCUAAGAAGAGGGUCAGGUAAAGAAGAUUAGGAUGCCAAGACUUGGCCUGCAGAAUGUCAGGAAUGUGAAUUAAAAGCUGCUGUUUCCAGACGCUUUUUAUUCUGAGCACCUUCACUACCUGGUAUCCAGUUCAUCUGGGAACUCCUUUUUGCAUUUUAGAAAAUGGAAAGAGGCAGGAAAUUAUGAUAAACUCAUGUUUAACAGGAAGAGUUUCACUGACUAAAUGUAUGUAAUUAUAUUUUGUUGUUGUAGAAGAAAUAAAUAGCAAAUUU